RNAcentral lists this ribosomal RNA (2008 nucleotides) under human oral metagenome. Its description in RNAcentral is "bacterial LSU rRNA". It matches the Rfam family "Bacterial large subunit ribosomal RNA", at positions 1096 to 2925 of the family's 2925-position model. The record is from RNAcentral.
GGAGGUUGGCUCAGAAGCAGCCAUCCUUGAAAGAGUGCGUAAUAGCUCACUGGUCGAGUGGUCGUGCGCCGACAAUGUAGCGGGGCUUAAGCGUGCCGCCGAAGCCGCGGACUCCUCCGUGAGGAGGGGUGGUAGGGGAGCGUCCUGCGUUGGGUGAAGCCCGGGAGUGAUCCUAGGGUGGACGGCGUGGGAGUGAGAAUGCAGGCAUGAGUAGCGAUGACUAGGGUGAGAGUCCCUAGCGCCGAAUGACCAAGGGUUCCAGGGCCAGGUGGAUCCGCCCUGGGUGAGUCGGGACCUAAGACGAGGCCGACAGGCGUAGUCGAUGGAUGACGGGUUGAUAUUCCCGUACCGGCGUAGGACCGCCCAUGCUGACGCGCGGGUGCUAACUCACGCCCGUGGUCGUUGAUUCGCUGGUGGCCGGUACCUUCGGGUCCGGGUGCUGGUGUCGACCAGGGUCUGGGGAUCCUCCGUGCAGGUAGGCAAGCGUAGUAACAGGGGUGACGCACAGUGGUAGCCUCGCGGGCCUAAUGGCUUGGCCCGUUCAAGCGCGCAGCCUCUCGCUCAGGUAAAUCCGGGCGAUCGCGUUAAUGACAUGGUUGUUGACGCGGGGGUGAGGCGUGAUGGUGACCCCGCUGUGAGCGGGGGAGAGCAGGGUGAUCCUGGGGUGCCGAGAAAAGCCUCGACGCGAUGGUGCUGGGCCGCCCGUACCCGAAACCGACACAGGUGGUCGGGCAGAGCAUGCCUAGGCGAACGAGUGAAUCAUGGUUAAGGAACUCGGCAAAAUGCCCCCGUAACUUCGGGAGAAGGGGGGCCUGAGCUUUGAAGCCCCUUCGCGGGCUAGGAGCAAGGGUCGCAGAGAACAGGGGGGAGCGACUGUUUACUAAAAACACAGGUCCGUGCGAAGCCGUAAGGCGAUGUAUACGGACUGACGCCUGCCCGGUGCUGGAAGGUUAAGAGGAACCAUCAACCCUCGGGUGAAGUGGUGAAUUUAAGCCCCAGUAAACGGCGGUGGUAACUAUAACCAUCCUAAGGUAGCGAAAUUCCUUGUCGGGUAAGUUCCGACCUGCACGAAUGGCGUAACGACUUCCCUACUGUCUCAACCAUGAGCUCGGCGAAAUUGCACUACGAGUAAAGAUGCUCGUUUCGCGCAGAAGGACGGAAAGACCCCGGGACCUUUACUACAGCUUGGUAUUGGCGCCCGCUAUAGCUUGUGCAGGAUAGGUGGGAGACUGUGAAGCCGUUACGCCAGUAGCGGUGGAGUCGUCCUUGAAAUACCACUCUGGUUAUGGCGUGCGCCUGAACCUGGGCCCGUGAUCCGGGUUAGGGACAGUGCCUGGUGGGUAGUUUAACUGGGGCGGUUGCCUCCUAAAGUGUAACGGAGGCGCUCAAAGGUUCCCUCAGCCUGGUCGGUAACCAGGUGUUGAGUGUAAGUGCACAAGGGAGCUUGACUGUGAGACUGACGGGUCGAGCAGGUACGAAAGUAGGAACUAGUGAUCCGGCGAUCCCGUGUGGGUGGGUCGUCGCUCAACGGAUAAAAGGUACCCCGGGGAUAACAGGCUGAUCCUGCCCAAGAGUCCAUAUCGACGGCAUGGUUUGGCACCUCGAUGUCGGCUCGUCGCAUCCUGGGGCUGGAGCAGGUCCCAAGGGUUGGGCUGUUCGCCCAUUAAAGCGGUACGCGAGCUGGGUUUAGAACGUCGUGAGACAGUUCGGUCCCUAUCCUCUGCGCGCGCAGGAGACUUGAGAAGGCCUGUCCCUAGUACGAGAGGACCGGGACGGACGAACCUCUGGUGUGCCAGUUGUCCCGCCCGGGGCACGGCUGGUUGGCUACGUUCGGGACGGGUAACCGCUGAAAGCAUCUAAGCGGGAAACCAUCUUCAAGACAAGGUCUCCACAAGAAGGACUCGUCCUUCUUGGUAGGCCCCCAGCAGACUACUGGGUUGAUAGGCCAGAAGUGGAAGACCGGUAACGGUUGGGAGCUGACUGGUACUAAUCGGCCGACACAAACAAC